GACGUAGGGGGCCAGCGUUGCUCGGAAUUACUGGGUGUAAAGGGUUCGUAGGCGGUGUGGCAAGUCGGGAGUGAAAUCUCUGGGCUCAACUCAGGGGCUGCUUCCGAAACUGCUGUGCUAGAGUGUGGGAGAGGCGCGUGGAAUUGCAGGUGUAGCGGUGAAAUGCGUAGAUAUCUGCAGGAACACCCGUGGCGAAAGCGGCGCGCUGGACCACUACUGACGCUGAGGAACGAAAGCUAGGGGAGCAAACAGG
This 253-nucleotide ribosomal RNA is filed under the name uncultured bacterium. RNAcentral describes it as "partial 16S ribosomal RNA". It matches the Rfam family "Bacterial small subunit ribosomal RNA", at positions 524 to 776 of the family's 1533-position model. The record is from RNAcentral.